GUUUUGACUAUUCAUCUUAUUUGAAUUUUUUGCGAUUAAUAUUUUUAUUAUUACUAGAUGAUAAAAUAUGAAUAGUACUUUAUAUGUGACUAACUUUUUAAGUUUUUGUAUAAAUUUUUUAAAUAAGACGAAUGAUCAAAGC
RNAcentral lists this microRNA precursor (142 nucleotides) under Oryza brachyantha (malo sina). Its description in RNAcentral is "MIR812 microRNA precursor family". It matches the Rfam family "MIR812 microRNA precursor family", at positions 31 to 175 of the family's 205-position model. The record is from Rfam by way of RNAcentral. Lineage: Eukaryota; Viridiplantae; Streptophyta; Magnoliopsida; Poales; Poaceae.